This 565-nucleotide ribosomal RNA is filed under the name uncultured bacterium. Its description in RNAcentral is "partial 16S ribosomal RNA". It matches the Rfam family "Bacterial small subunit ribosomal RNA", at positions 355 to 935 of the family's 1533-position model. The record is from RNAcentral.
UGGGGAAUAUUGCACAAUGGGCGAAAGCCUGAUGCAGCAACGCCGCGUGCGGGAUGACGGCCUUCGGGUUGUAAACCGCUUUCAGCAGGGACGAAGGUUUUCUGACGGUACCUGCAGAAGAAGCACCGGCUAACUACGUGCCAGCAGCCGCGGUGAUACGUAGGGUGCGAGCGUUGUCCGGAAUUAUUGGGCGUAAAGAGCUUGUAGGCGGUCCGUUGCGUCGGAAGUGAAAACUCGGGGCUUAACCCUGAGCCUGCUUUCGAUACGGGCGGACUUGAGGGAUGUAGGGGAGAACGGAAUUCCUGGUGGAGCGGUGGAAUGCGCAGAUAUCAGGAGGAACACCAGUGGCGAAGGCGGUUCUCUGGACAUUUCCUGACGCUGAGAAGCGAAAGCGUGGGGAGCAAACAGGCUUAGAUACCCUGGUAGUCCACGCCGUAAACGGUGGGCACUAGGUGUGGGACCCAUUCCACGGGUUCCGUGCCGUAGCUAACGCAUUAAGUGCCCCGCCUGGGGAGUACGGCCGCAAGGCUAAAACUCAAAGGAAUUGACGGGGUCAUAGCUGUUU